GCGCCGCGCCGCCUUCCCUACCUGCGCCGUGCAGCACCGCGAUCCCUACUCGCGCGGCGCCGCGCCGCCCCUCGCCGCCUUCCCUUCGUCCUACUCGUGCUGGGCGCCGCUACCGACGCCAAACCCUACGGAUUGACGACAAGUGUCAGAGAGACUAAAGCCUCAGGUCAUAGUGGUGCGCCAAUUCGAAUUCGGGAAAGAAAGGAACAUCAUAGGCCCCGUUUGUCGGAUUAUGUUUUAGCUUUCUCCUUGGAUAAGCUAAGCCUCAUCUAAACGGCCGGGUGGUUUAUGCGAAGCAAAGAGAAAAAGUAGCCAACCGAACAGGAGAGAAUUCCUUAUUUGACACUACCUUAAAAUGUGGUUCCUUAUUUGACCCUGAAGAACUUUUUUUUCCCUAUUUGACAUGUAGUCUAAAUUUUCUUCCUUACGUGACAUCGCCGUCCGUUUUGUUACACCGUUCCGUUAAAUUGUUUUUGGAUGGACCAAAAUACCCCCGUGUUAGUAGCUAGCCCACAAGAAGUUUUGACCAGAGUCGCUAGCCCACAAGCCCGAUCCCGAUCUGGCCAUCCUCUCGUCUCUCUGUUUCUUCGAUUCCCCACCCCCAACCCUAGCGGCGGCGGCAGCGGGUUGCAGGC
This is a long non-coding RNA of Triticum dicoccoides, 635 nucleotides long. RefSeq lists it as uncharacterized. The record is from RefSeq and is a predicted model, not a curated record. Lineage: Eukaryota; Viridiplantae; Streptophyta; Magnoliopsida; Poales; Poaceae. The transcript is spliced from 3 exons.